RNAcentral lists this ribosomal RNA (544 nucleotides) under uncultured bacterium. Its description in RNAcentral is "bacterial SSU rRNA". It matches the Rfam family "Bacterial small subunit ribosomal RNA", at positions 358 to 916 of the family's 1533-position model. The record is from RNAcentral.
GGAAUCUUGCGCAAUGGGCGAAAGCCUGACGCAGCAACGCCGCGUGCGGGAUGAAGGCCUUCGGGCUGUAAACCGCUUUCAGCAGGAACGAAAAUGACGGUACCUGCAGAAGAAGGAGCGGCCAACUACGUGCCAGCAGCCGCGGUGACACGUAGGCUCCAAGCGUUGUCCGGAUUUAUUGGGCGUAAAGAGCUCGUAGGCGGUUGAGUAAGUCGGGUGUGAAAACUCUGGGCUUAACCCGGAGACGCCAUCCGAUACUGCUCUGACUAGAGUUCAGGAGGGGAGUGGGGAAUUCCUAGUGUAGCGGUGAAAUGCGCAGAUAUUAGGAGGAACACCGGUGGCGAAGGCGCCACUCUGGACUGAAACUGACGCUGAGGAGCGAAAGCAUGGGUAUCAAACAGGAUUAGAUACCCUGGUACUCCAUGCCGUAAACGGUGGGCACUAGGUGUGGGUUCCAACUAACGGGAUCCGCGCCGUCGCUAACGCAUUAAGUGCCCCGCCUGGGGAGUACGGUCGCAAGACUAAAACUCAAAUGAAUUGACGG